ACUUGGCUAGCUCAGUCAGUAGAGCAUGCGACUCUUGAUCUCAGGGUCUUGAGUUAGAGCCCCACGUUGAGUG
RNAcentral lists this transfer RNA (73 nucleotides) under Felis catus (domestic cat). It matches the Rfam family "tRNA". Rfam says of the family: Transfer RNA (tRNA) molecules are approximately 80 nucleotides in length. The record is from Rfam by way of RNAcentral. RNAcentral also lists the same sequence under 2 other names. Lineage: Eukaryota; Metazoa; Chordata; Mammalia; Carnivora; Felidae.